Mus musculus (house mouse) is the source of this 4829-nucleotide long non-coding RNA. RefSeq annotates it as predicted gene, 46905. The transcript is spliced from 2 exons. NCBI's taxonomy places the organism in Eukaryota, Metazoa, Chordata, Mammalia, Rodentia, Muridae. The record is from RefSeq and is a predicted model, not a curated record.
UGUCUGUGAGCCACUGUACGUAGAUGAAUACCAGAAUAUUAGAUGUGAGAAUGCAAAGAGUGUGGACAGACCACAGAGAAGGAAAAAUGCCUGUAACCUCGUGACACCACCAAGAGACUGGUGCCAGCAUGAGAUUUCUUCUCAGUGGAUCUCAGUCCUACCAUCACUCUAGAGAGAUCAGGCGAUGGGAUGGAAAAGUACUGUUCUGAAUUCCUUGAUGUUCAAGAAUUGUGAUAACCAUGGAAAUGUUUUCGCUACCCAGAGUCUCCAGUUCCACAUUACUGGAAAGGCCAGCUCAGGCCACCCCUACCAGGAAGCUCAACAUCCACUUCCCAGGACUUACUGCACAUUCGCCAAGUCCACCUCCUUCGUCCUUCAUUCCUCUCAGAUGGAAGGUCAGCAUCCUUCCUCCCCUCUCUGGUCUCUCUCCCAUCCACAUUGACUCUCUGAAAAAGUCUGCAGAGUCGGGCAAACAAGGCCAUCACUGCAAUGUCCAGCCUCUGACUGAGAAAUCUCAGUGGGUUUGUUGUCACUACAACACUGGUGACAUCACGGAGGUUGCUAAGAACUCUCCAGGAGACAAUAGAACGUCCAAGAAGGGACUGCUGAUGUCAUGGACUACAUACAGCCUUUGGUUCCCUGCUAAUGUUUCCCUGUACUGAUAGGAAACUGAGCUGCCCUUUCCUGGGGCAUAGCCAUUGAGCACAUCCUCCUUCCAAAGCCAGGGUUUGCUCUAGGCUUGAUUGGCAACACCUAAGUAAUUCCUAUGUAUCUAACUGAGUGUUUCCUUUCCAAACCCUUCUCAGAAAUAUCUCAUCCUACCUUAAAUUUUCCUCAAUCAGCAGUAGGAGCCAUUAAAACCUACUGAGAAAUCAUACCAGUUCGAAUAUGCAGCCAAAAUCUACUCCUGUCUCAUCAUGUACAGGUGCAUGAAAUCUCAUCCAGGCUGAACCUGCAGGGCUGGGUGUAGUGUGGGUGUGUGUUAGGGGCCACACUCAUGAAGCCUUGUGCUUAGCAUUUGAAAUUUGCCCCAAGAUCCCUUAGGAGGGAGACAUGCAGUCAUCAUGCAGUCAUCACUCAGUCAUUAUGCUUCUGACAACAGUCUAGAGAUCUGUUGGCAGAGGAAACUGAAAUAUUGGAGCCACCAAUGAGUGGCCCUCAGAUUGUGUGUGGGUUUUUCUCACUGCACCAAACUCACCAAUCAGUAUUGCUUAUAGCCCUCUGUGUGCUAGACCAUGAGAUUUUGUUUGUAAUAAAUAAUAUAUUCAACAGAGUUGCAGAUGUGCAGGUAGAAAGUGUAGUCUAAUACUAUAGACAGGUUAGUUGACAGAGCAAGGGUCUAGCAUCUUGUAUUUGGGUUCAUGUUUGGAUCCACAAACCACACAAAACCCAAUCCUAGUCAAACAUCAAUGAUUCAUUAAAUGCAGACCCUAAAGUUGAUUGAUCAGAACCAUAGCUCAGGUUUUGGGGGUUGAGCCAUAGCUUCAAAAAUCUAUCUUUGUUAACUUAUAAAGACAAAAAAACCGAAAACCAAAACCCUAAAACCAAAACAAACAAACAAACAAAAACAAAUGAAAAAACACAAUUAGUUCAUUUAAAGUUAGGGAAAUAUCCAGUGGUCUGUUCUGAUCAGGCCAUUUUAGAUAUAACUGCAUACUGACCUUUAAUUGGAGGGUCCCAUGGAUUGGUUUAUGGACCAUUGUAAGAUUAACAAGCCUCAUACAGAACACAACAGGAUGUGGACACCAUGACUUUGCUCUGAGUCAAGUUGUUUUUCUGUGUUGAUGAUUGGCUGUCUUAUGACAGCAACUAUCUGAAAUAGGGGGCAGACAUAGAACACAAUGGCUCUUGCUAUACUGGGCAGUACAUGCAUUAGCAUUUGAUUAUCUAGGUCUCUCACAAUGACCAGUUCUGUGUUCAUAGUACUUGGAGACCCCACUUGGAAGCCCAAAUAUAUGAACGUGGAAGCAGAAUUGUCUGAGCUCAAGGUUAACCUGGUCCACAUGGGGUAUUUGAGACCAUGUUUCAGAAAACAACACUGAAACACACGCAACAUGCAAGGCCUCACUAGCCAAUUCUUGUCUAUUAUAAAGAACUUACCAUUCUCUCCCUUCCAGUCUUUCUUUCUGGGAAGAUGGAGACGUGAAAAUGAUCUUUCCAUUCUAAGGACCAUGUUCUCUUUUCCCCUCAGCCCACAUUAAGAACAAAUAGAAGUGAGUAUCAUCAUCUGAACAACUGAGUAAUAUCCACUGCUGCUAGCAUGGUACUGUGCCCAUGAUAAUCUUAGCUUCCUUUAGUGUUGCUGCCCCAGCAGGAAGUAUUAAGUGCUGAGGCCAAAGCUCAGAGAACCUUUCAAGGGGCUAGACAGAAGCCAUCAGAGACUCUCCACUUCCUUGUCCUGAGAUGAAAUCCAGGAACACAAUGUGAACUUGGUGGCUAAUUAACCAUAUAUCAUACUUCUACCUCCACCUUUCUAUGUUCAGUACAGGAAAGUGUUCAUGCACCUCCAUGACAGGUUUAUCUUGAUAUAUGUUGCAGGGCGCAGACUUUUUAGAGAGUUGCGUGUAGUCAAGCAGUUGGUGAAUUCAGUAAGAUGUCAAGACUAUCAAUAACAAGUGACCACACUGUAUUUGUUUAAAAAGUUCAUUAGCUGAAAAUUGAGCAUAAGUGAGGAGUGGGACACCUGCACUGUGCCCUGGCAUUUUUGUGCCUAGACAAGGCUCAAAGGAAUGGUGAUAGGACAACUUGGGUUCCUCUGAAUGGACAGAGUAAGGUGAAAUAGGCACUGACCAGGCUGAGCAAUACUUCUGAGGCCCCUUAUUACAGGUAACAAACACAUUCUCUGUCCACCUUCCAAAGAGCUUCUGUUGAGACCAUGGAUCUUGUAAGGUAAGGCUAUAGUAAGGUCACGCAGACUUAUUUCCUAGUGAUACAAAGGUCUCUCUGAUAAGGCUUGCCCCAUACCAUAUCUGUAGCAAAUUUGUUACAAGCCAGCAGUCUAUUUCAUGCUGUUCCUGUAAUAUGCUUCCCAGUCAUGGAUGUAAAACCUUUCAAGGAGCUAGACAGAAGCCAUCAGCGACUCUCCACUUCCUUGUCCUGAGAUGAAAUCCAGGAACACAAUGCUUACUUGGUGGCCAAUUAACCAUGCAUCAUACUUCUACCUCCACCAUUCUGUGUUCAGUACAGGAAAGUGUUCAUGUACCUCCAUGCCAGAUUUAUCUUGAUAUAUGUUCCAGACUGGGACCCUAUAGGUGGAACAACAAUAUUAACUAAUCAGUACCCCCACUCAGAACUUGUGUCUCUAGCUGCAUAUGUAUCAGAAGGUGGCCAGGUCGGCCAUCAUUGGAAAGAGAGGCACGUUGGUCUUGCAAACUUUAUAUGCCUCAGUACAGGGGAACACCAGGGCCAAGAAGUGGGAGUGUGUGGGGAGGAGGGAAGUGGGAAGAAGGGUAUGGGGGACUCUUGGGAUGCUCCAACUCCAUAGCUGUUCAGGACCAUCACCUCAUUACAUUCCUACCCUGUUGAAAAAUAUCUUAAUAAAAACUCCUUCAAAACUCUGCCAAAUUAAAGCACAUCUGAGCAUUAGACUUUGGCAGAGUUUUGAACACUCAAUGCCCAUUGCAAAUUCUUUCUAUCUUAACUCCCUCUGCACAGCCUCCUUCUGACUCUUAAAGGGGUUGGGGUAGGAAGAGACACCUUCCAUUACCUUGCCUCCCCCCGGAGCAGAGUCCUGGCCUAUGUAGCCAGCACAAUGACACCUGCUUUCUGGCCUUUGCUACCUUUUGUCCCUUCCCAAUCCUAAUGUUGUAAGACUUGGUCCAGAUCUCCCAAUCCAGAUCUCUGGCCAACAGGAGAGUAGUUGACCAAUGGCUCUUUCCACUGAGUGGCUCACUAGUCCUGAAAGUAAAAGUGGCUAGCCUUCUCCAUGUCCUGCACACUAAAGAGGUGCACAAGCCACAGCCCAGAACACUGCUCUAAUGCCUCCCAUCUCAUGGUAGACAGGCUGAAUAAUUUGUUUUGUAUUCCUAACUUUGACCUACUGCCUAAAAAAACCUCUUCAUUAUUGACCUCCGUGAGCCACAUGAUUGGGACAAUGACUUGGUUAGUAUUCACAUAUGGGUGAAAAUGUCCGUAGAUUUUCACAAGUCUAUACUUGUAAUGGUUUGUAUAUGCUUGGCCCAGGGAAUGUCACUAUUAGAAGGUGGCGGAGUACGUGUGGCCUUGUUGGAGUAGGUCUGUCAUUAUGAGUUUGGGCUUUAAGACCCUCAUCCUAGCUGCCUGGAAGCCAGUAUUCUGCUAGCAGUAUUAAGAUGAAGUUGUAGAACUCUCAGCUCCUCCUGCACCAUGCCUGCCUGGAUGGCACCAUGCUCCCACCUUAAUCAUAAUGGACUAAUUUGAAUCUGAAAGCCAGCCCCAAUUAAAUAUUGUUCUUAUAAGAGUUGCCUCGGUCAUGGUGUCUCUUCCCAGCAGGUAAAACCCUACCUAAGACAAUAAUUAAUAGAACUAGUUUCUAUUCGAAAUAAAGACAUCCUUUCUAUAUUGACUUGUACAAAAGCCAGAAAGAUCCAUGGACUUUUUGUUGUUGUUGUUAUACCAACAAAUCUCUUUAUUGACAUGUGUUCUAGAAUGUACCCCUCACAUAGCAUCCUCAUAGAUUACAUAAUUUCAUUAACAGUGCUGUGUAUUAAUUUUCUCAUUGCAUUCUCUGUCCUCAUUUCCUUAUAUAUUUCCCUGCACUGUUUAGUUUAAAUGUUUCCCAAUUGUCUUCUUAGUAAAAUAUUGAUGGAAAAAACAUCUUGUAUCACCAAGUAUAAAUACCUCAACCUCUA